GACGAACGCUGGCGGCGUGCUUAACACAUGCAAGUCGAACGGAAAGGCCCUGCUUUUGUGGGGUGCUCGAGUGGCGAACGGGUGAGUAACACGUGAGUAACCUGCCCUUGACUUUGGGAUAACUUCAGGAAACUGGGGCUAAUACCGGAUAGGAGCUCCUGCUGCAUGGUGGGGGUUGGAAAGUUUCGGCGGUUGGGGAUGGACUCGCGGCUUAUCAGCUUGUUGGUGGGGUAGUGGCUUACCAAGGCUUUGACGGGUAGCCGGCCUGAGAGGGUGACCGGCCACAUUGGGACUGAGAUACGGCCCAGACUCCUACGGGAGGCAGCAGUGGGGAAUAUUGCACAAUGGGCGGAAGCCUGAUGCAGCAACGCCGCGUGCGGGAUGACGGCCUUCGGGUUGUAAACCGCUUUCGCCUGUGACGAAGCGUGAGUGACGGUAAUGGGUAAAGAAGCACCGGCUAACUACGUGCCAGCAGCCGCGGUGAUACGUAGGGUGCGAGCGUUGUCCGGAUUUAUUGGGCGUAAAGGGCUCGUAGGUGGUUGAUCGCGUCGGAAGUGUAAUCUUGGGGCUUAACCCUGAGCGUGCUUUCGAUACGGGUUGACUUGAGGAAGGUAGGGGAGAAUGGAGUUCCUGGUGGAGCGGUGGAAUGCGCAGAUAUCAGGAGGAACGCCAGUGGCGAAGGCGGUUCUCUGGGCCUUUCCUGACGCUGAGGAGCGAAAGCGUGGGGAGCGAACAGGCUUAGAUACCCUGGUAGUCCACGCUGUAAACGGUGGGUACUAGGUGUGGGGUCCAUUCCACGGGUUCCGUGCCGUAGCUAACGCUUUAAGUACCCCGCCUGGGGAGUACGGCCGCAAGGCUAAAACUCAAAGGAAUUGACGGGGCCCCGCACAAGCGGCGGAGCAUGCGGAUUAAUUCGAUGCAACGCGUAGAACCUUACCUGGGUUUGACAUGGAUCGGGAGUGCUCAGAGAUGGGUGUGCCUCUUUUGGGGUCGGUUCACAGGUGGUGCAUGGCUGUCGUCAGCUCGUGUCGUGAGAUGUUGGGUUAAGUCCCGCAACGAGCGCAACCCUUGUUCACUGUUGCCAGCACGUUAUGGUGGGGACUCAGUGGAGACCGCCGGGGUCAACUCGGAGGAAGGUGGGGAUGACGUCAAGUCAUCAUGCCCCUUAUGUCCAGGGCUUCACGCAUGCUACAAUGGCUGGUACAGAGAGUGGCGAGCCUGUGAGGGUGAGCGAAUCUCGGAAAGCCGGUCUCAGUUCGGAUUGGGGUCUGCAACUCGACCUCAUGAAGUCGGAGUCGCUAGUAAUCGCAGAUCAGCAACGCUGCGGUGAAUACGUUCCCGGG
This 1343-nucleotide ribosomal RNA is filed under the name uncultured bacterium. Its description in RNAcentral is "16S ribosomal RNA". It matches the Rfam family "Bacterial small subunit ribosomal RNA", at positions 28 to 1378 of the family's 1533-position model. The record is from RNAcentral.